RNAcentral lists this ribosomal RNA (457 nucleotides) under uncultured bacterium. RNAcentral's name for it is "bacterial SSU rRNA". It matches the Rfam family "Bacterial small subunit ribosomal RNA", at positions 340 to 786 of the family's 1533-position model. The record is from RNAcentral.
UACGGAAGGCAGCAGUGGGGAAUAUUGCACAAUGGGCGAAAGCCUGAUGCAGCUAUGCCGCGUGUAUGAAGAAGGCCUUAGGGUUGUAAAGUACUUUCAUCGGGGAGGAAAAAACAAAACUAAUAAUUUUAUUUCUUGACGUUACCCGAAAAAGAAGCACCGGCUAACUCCGUGCCAGCAGCCGCGGUAAUACGGAGGGUGCUAGCGUUAAUCAGAAUUACUGGGCGUAAAGAGCACGUAGGUGGUUUUUUUAAGUCAGAUAUGAAAUCCCUGGGCUUAACCUAGGAACUGCAUUUUGAAACUGAAAUACUAGAGUAUCGUAGAGGGAGGUAGAAUUCUAGGUGUAGCGGUGAAAUGCGUAGAUAUCUGGAGGAAUACCUGUGGCGAAAGCGGCCUCCUAAACGAAUACUGACACUGAGGUGCGAAAGCGUUGGGGAGCAAACAGGGAUUAGAUACC